UGACGGAAUUUUGAGGUAAGUAUUUACAAGUUUGGCGGACGAAACUUCUUUUUAGGAGGGGUGAAUGUAAUACACUGAACUUUUGCAAAUUGCGGAGUGCGAGUGUGUAGAAUGAAAUGUGGAACUACCCUACAUGUUAUAAAGGGUUUAAAGAUAAUUAUGAAUAAAUUUGAGAGUGGUCGGAACGUGGGAAGCGAGAAAGUGCAUUGCAAUUUUGAGAUUUGUAUUUUCUGCAUUGGUGUACU
Molecule: long non-coding RNA, 245 nt
Filed under: Ananas comosus (pineapple)
Lineage: Eukaryota; Viridiplantae; Streptophyta; Magnoliopsida; Poales; Bromeliaceae
Description: long non-coding RNA (ACOM_LNC031392)
Source: RNAcentral